Molecule: long non-coding RNA, 12816 nt
Organism: Chlorocebus sabaeus (green monkey)
Lineage: Eukaryota; Metazoa; Chordata; Mammalia; Primates; Cercopithecidae
Source: RefSeq, a predicted model, not a curated record
AUGGCUCUCACACUAGGCUUUAAGAGGGACUGGGGAGUGGAACAUUCCACUGAGCCUGACCCCACCUCUUCUAGGUGAGCUGGCCAGAGAGUUUAAGUGACUUUCCCAAGGGUCACUCAGCUAGUUGGUUCUGGAGUCACUCACUGAGCCUGGCUCCAGAACCCCAAAGACAGGGUGCAGCCACCUUGGUGAAGCCUCAGUGGUCACCUCCUAACAGUCCCAGUCACUGUAUCCCAGGGACGCCCAGGAUCAACUCAUUAACCAGCUGCCUGCACGGCUUGACCCGGAGGCCGGAGCCUUUGCCUCUCUGCACCCUGACGCCCAUGGGGGGCGGGGGGUGGUCAGAGAGGGAGCGUGGACCGCUGGCAGUGCAUCUCUCCGUUGUCAUGGCAACCCGGGCACUGUCUGCACCUGUCACUCAUGAGGACUGGAGCUCCUGGGGUGGGGGCGGGGUUUUCAGAUGCUUAAUCUGCCCAAGCGAGGCUGAGACCCCUGGGCUCGCCCCAUCCUGCUCUCUUCCCCCGUGUCCUCAAGACAGUCACGGCCUAUUUCCACUCCAUCCCUUUCCUGGGCCGCAUGCCCUGCCCUGAGUGGAUGGGGUGGUGGCCAGGCCCGGGUCUGUAGCAGCUUCUGGCCCCAUUUUCUGAGUGACCUCCCUGGGGAUGGUCAGCCUCCUGCGUUUAAACGCAAGUCCCUCGCUGCUGGAACUCGUUCAUUUAGCCAGAGGAGGGUCUGGUCUGGGUCUCUCCCCACCAGAGUCCCAGCCCUGCACUGGCUGCCUACUGGGCAGCUCCUCAGAGGCCUCAGAGGCUCCAACCUCGCCCUGCAUCUGAGCAGUGCUGUGGCCUUCUCUGCAGAGCCUGCUCUCCCCUUCCACACUGUCCUCAUGGGCACACAGUCCCCCGUCCAGGUGCUUGGGCCGGAACCUUGGCCUCCUUUCUCACCCAGGCACUCUGUGUCAGCACAUCCCACUGGCUCUACCUUCAAAACAUGUCCUCAAUCCAACCAUUUCUCACUGCCCCACUGCCACUCACUGUGAAGGCCAACCUCCUGUCCUCCUUGGAUGACUGUGACAGCCACUCUGCCCCACCUUCUCCACCCAGUCAUGCUCACAAAAGCAGUCAGAGCGGCCCCAUUGAAAAGUAAGCAAAGCAAGCAUCUCCUCCACUUAAAACCCCACCAGCUGUCACCUUGCAGUGAACAAAGGCUACAGUUCUUAGGAUUCUGUGACCUGUACUCCCACCCUCUGAAGGCCAGUCUGCAAAGCUGUGGGGCUUGCUGGCACCCAAACUUUCAGUCCUCACUCCAAUGUCACCCUCUCCAUCAGGCCCGCUCCCUUCAAACUGCCACACCCCACGGCUCCAUUUAUCCCAAAGCAUUGUACUAAUAAUCACUCACUCUUCACGAAGACCGCUGCCUCCUGGCUGUCUCCCCACAUGGGGACUUUGUGAGGCUGGGGCUCUGGGCCCACACAGGCAGUUAGUUAGCACGUGCUCUGUGACUGAGCCCCAGCAGGGGUGGUGCAUUCAUUUGUCCACUCCAGGGCCUGCAGCAUCUUGGUUUGAAUCACACAAUCCAAUGUUUCUGUUAAUUUGAAGGUGGAGGCCAACUUUAGCCAAAAAUCAAGGUAAUUGAAAUAAAAACCUAGACAUCUAAGCUCUCUGGGAAAAAGGAGGAAUCUGUCCACAGUGCCCACUCCCAUCUGAAUAAGUUGGCUGGGGCUGGGCUGAGGUCUUCCCCCUUAGGUGGGGCAACGGUCCCGCCAGCCCCUGGUGCUCACUACCGACCCUAUUACUCAUGUUCCUAAGCCUCCAGCCCUCUGGGGCUCUGAGUUUGGCUCUCUGAUUACCCCAGUCAUCUUCCCCUGACCCCGCAGUGGGUCCCUUCUGCUCUGUGGCAGGGUCUGCCUGGAGCCAUGGGGCAGACUUGGUCCACUCCUGCUUGGGGUAGGAGGUGGUUGCUGUGCAGGGGUGAUUGGAGGCCCAGAGGGUUCUGCAUAAUACACACAGGACAGUGGUCAGGCAAGGCUCCCAGGGAGGCGGCCUCCAGGGAGAAGUCAGCCUAGGGGAGAGGAGACCAUGGAGGAGCUAAGGAAGCCUCUGGGGUAUUCUGGAGGUUUUAGGUGUGGAGGGCUCUGAGAGGAGAAGGUAGGGGCAGGUCGGCCCAACAAAGAGCCGGAAGCCAAAUGCCACCGACUGAGCAGCAUGGAGGCCCAGCUGCAUUCUGCCUCCGUGGGGAGACACUGAAGGCUGCAGCCAGGGACGGGACGUGGUGUGGUCGAUACGGAGGUGUGCCUCCCCACUCUCGACAUGCCUUGUUGUAGGUGUGCAGUGGAGACCACCUCUAGCUGUCAGCUUCUUCAGGGACAGCUUUGCCUGAGGCCACCCCCUCCUGAGGGCUCUAGGGGAUAAAGGCCCUACCAUUUCCAUCCGCUUGGGGCACUGAAGGGUGUGUUCCAUCUGGAGCUCCCCUCUGGGUUGGCUGAGGGUUCUCGAUUUUGCAUUGCAGACUGACUUCUCCCUCUGCCCAACGUUCCCCCACCAACACUUCUUCUCACAAGGGUUGGUCCCUAAUAAACAUCUUUCACCCCAAACUCAUGUGGCCGGUGGGCCGAGGCAGGCUGGAGAGGAGGGUACCCUGCAAAGUCAGGAGGUAAGCUGGGAAGUUCCUGCACCAGCUUGAGCCGAGAGGAGGAGACCUGAGUCAUGCCAUGACUAUGGGCAUGGAAGACCAGAGAGUUUCAGCAACGAUGCAUCACAUGGGAUUCAGCCCGCUGCUACUGAAGUAGGAGUGACCUGAGUGCAGAUCCUGCCUCCACAAUUUCCUGGUGACUCUGGGAAGCCCCCUGUACCUCUCUGAGCUGCAGCGAUCAUAUCUAUAAAAUGGCAAGUAUAGGGACGAUGACUGUCUUGCGGGGUGGUUGUGAGGGUUCAAUCGGAUAAUAGACUCAAGAAGCUCAGGCAGGGCUUGGUAUGCAGUUUGCAACCUUUUUGUAAAGGUUGCAUUGACAGGUUUGGUAUCAACCAUAGAACCCCAGAGCCAAUCAUCAAUAUAAACAUCUGAGCAAUGUGAGCCCCUCUCAGCCCUGGUGUGGCCCGGAGAGGGUAUUCCCACCGAAAGCAAAAUACCUAUUGUGGUCUUUUCCUCCACAGAUGAGUGGGGUCUUUUGAAGUACUGAGAAUUGGUUGGGGACACACAUUGCUGUCUUUGUGGAGCCUGAGCGGGUCGGGGAUCCAGGGCCAAGGGAAAUGUUGCCAGAGGGCUCAGAAGGGUCACCAGAGGCCAAUGAGAUCCCAGCCCAGCAAGUUCCCAGGUUCUUGAUACCAUCCAAAAAAGAGUUCAGGGAGGAGUUAGAAUGAAGUGAGGGUUUGGGUUUCUAAUUUUGUGGGUGUGUAAUUAGUGGGUGGAAUAAUCAUUAGGUAUUCUGGAAAAGGAGGGGAUCUCAGGGACCCCCCAGUUACUGCCCCCUUUCUCUCUUAUUUGAGUUUGCCUGGAAAUCCAAAUAAGACGCAGGCAUGUUAUGGGCGUGUCACGGUGACCAGGAUUUGGGCCGUUUUCUCUCCCUGAUUUUGGGUUUUGGGUUAUUCUGUGGUUUCUUUACCCAGUUCUCGUUUUAUGUUGUUUGGGUUUCUCCAUCCUCCUGUGACUACCCAGUACUACUCCUAUCUAAGAAACACUGGCCACGUCUUUCCAGCUCCCAGUUGCCGCUGAUGGGCCUGAGGGGUGUGUGUGGGGUAUGAGCAGGCUGCAGCUUGGCUCUGGGAAACUGACUUCCGAAGGGUUCCUGGUAGUCAUGAGUCCCAGCAGGGCAUGUGAUUGGGCACCUGGACGGCCGUGCCCAUUAUUAAGCUACUGAAGUCUUUGCACAGAGCAGGGUAAAGAGCCACUGCCUGGAGCUCCUUGAGUGUGGCUCCGUUCCAGAUCCUCCCUGGCAUUCCAUCCCCCUUCCUACUCACCCAAGGUGAGUAGAUGAACGCCUGGCCCUGGGCCCCUCUGAGUGGCUGGUGCUCCUGCCAAGAUGUCACAACUGUCUGCAGGUUGCCUGUGGGACCAUUCCUGUGGCUCAUUCCAGGAAUGUCCUGCCACGCUCUGUGCUACUGGGGACAUGGAGCCGUGGUGGCACACAGCUAUAACUCUGUUCUCCUGAACCACGUAUCUACUGGGGGAGGAGGAGAGCCCAGAGGAAAUCCAGGGCACUGUUUUUAGAAACAAUAUCGUCACCAGCACUUACUGAAAGGCUUUCCUUGAGCCUAGUGUUGUUCUUAGCACUUCCCCUGUGCUAUCAGAUUCAAGCUGCCCACACUCAGUGGGGUGGGGGCUGUCAUUAUUUUACUUAUUCUCACUCAUGUUCUGGGUGAAGGUCACACAGCUAGUGAGUACGGAGCAGGGACCAAACCCAGGCAGUCUGUUUCCAGAGACCGUGCUCUUGGUGGCAAAGGCCUGGCACAGCAGCGUAGAAAAAGGCCAGGUCUCUUGCCCAGGCAUUCCGAGGCCACAGCUGAUCUGGCAUAGCUCCUGACUCCUGGGAGCUGCCCACUGGGCUUCCCUGGCCCCUCUGGGCCCAACCAGGCAUCACAGGGAGCCCCCCCAGGUCCUCCCAGGCUUCUCUUUCUUUCCCCUGCACCCUAUCACUGCCUCGUUGGAGAUCUUGACAGUAGAUGAAGUGACAAGCCUUUGCGCUUAAUUAAGACACAUUGUCCCACCAAUUGGGAAGCAAAAAUGGCUGGGCUGUUUUACAAAUAGAAACAAUUCUUGUUCAUUAUCCCUUAAUUGUGGCAACAAAGGGCUCUGGAAAACAUCCAUCAGAACACAUUCAUGAACAUUAGCAGAGAGGAUUCGGUUUAGGACCACACAAAAGGAACAGCAAAUGUUCCAAUCAGGAGUUAUACAGACAAAGGGAAACAAAGGCCUGAAAGCACAAAUACUGAAGAAUUAGCCCAAUUACACACUCGAUGUGGUGGGGAACAAGUUUCCUGGCUUCUGGCCAGCUCUUCUCCUUGCCUCUUUUUAUCUUCUUCCUUUUCCCUGGUACCAGAUGGAUAGGGGAAAGAAAGGAACCUCCCAGACCCUCUGGGAACCCGGCUUUGGUCCCCAGGAUGGGGAAGAGAUGGGUUAACAGAGAGUCUUGAGGGACCCAAAACUGUAAUCUGAAUUCCAGAUGUGGUCUGCCUGUAAUUGUCACCUUCUUCAUUUUGGUCACUAUACUUCUUGUGAUGCAACCUAAGAUACUCUGUCCCAGUAUGGAUUUUAAGGUCAGCUUGUGGUUGGUUGAAGUUGCUGAACUGUUUUUAUAACUUUUUUUUCAGGCUAGGUAUUCCCCAUCCUAUAUUUACAUAAUUGUAUUUUAAGGUCCAAACAAGUUUAUAUCCAUAUUGUUUGUCCCAGCCCAUUUGUCUGGUCACUCAGGGGAGCUGAGUGGAUGUGGCCUCCUGGGACCACUACCCAGAACUAUUCUUGGAAGCAAGCCUGCUUGUCUUUCUCCUCCAGGUUCUCUUGGGAGCUAGGUAAAGAGAAGCUUGCAUGCGUUAAGAUAGGAAGAGCUUUUAAAAAAUCGUUCCUGAUUGGUUAGGAAAUGACUGAUCCUUGUGUCAGAGUCAUUUGAACCAGGGCAACUCCAUCUUGAAUGGUGCUGGGUAAAAUGUGGCUGCGACCUACUGGGCUGCAUUCCCAGAUGGUUAGUCAUUCUAAGUCACAGAAUGAGAUAGGAGGCUGGCACAAGAUAUAGGUCAUAAAGACCUUGCUGAUAAAACAGCUUGCAUUAAAGGAGCCGGCUAAAACCCAUCAAAACCACGAUGGUGACAAAAGUGACCUCUGGCCGUCCGUCAUCACUGCUACACUCCCACCAGUGCCAUGACAGUUUACAAAUGCUGUGGCAAUAUCAGGAAGUUACCCUAUAUGGUCUAAAAAGGGGCGGCAUAAAUAAUCCGCCCCUUGUUUAGCGUAUAAUCAAGAAAUAAUCGUAAAAGUGGGCAAUCAGCCUCCCUCAAGGUUGCUCUGUCUAUGGAGUAGCUAUUCUUUUAUUCCUUUACUUUCCCAGUAAACUUGCUUUCACUUUACUCUCCCUGAAUUCUUUCUUGCUCGAAAUCCAAGAACCCCCUCUUGGGGUCUGGAUCGGGGCCGCUUUCUGGUAAUAUCUUUCUUGCGACCACUGAAGGGACUAUAGUGCGGAAACCCCUGACCCAAAGGCUACCUUUGGGUGAGUGGUGAGGUCUGGUAAUAUCUUUCUAGUGAACCACAGAAGAGACGAUACUGAAGAACAACCCCCACAUCGCCCCCCUCCCACCCCCACAAUCUUCUGAAGGAAAUAGACUGCAGCACUGAUUGGCUGACUUUGGGACACAGUUAGAGAAAUUGGCUAUUUUACCAAGGCGUUGACUGGAAUGGUAUGUUUUCCUUUAAGGAAUUAAACUUGACUUACAGAGCCAAUAAAAGACCCUUGGGAAAGAUGUCCGCAUACCUUGUCUACACAGUCCCUGUACAGGAUUCUUGACUUGUGAGAUGGAGCCUUGCUCCGUCACCCAGGCCUGAGUGCAGUGGUGCAAUCAUCGCUUGCCACUAGAACUCUUGGACUCCAUUCCUCCCGCCUCAGCUUCCCAAGUAGCUGAGACUACAGGUACAGUUCCAGUUUUGUAGCACAGAUGUUCCUUGAGUUGUGAUGGGGCUACGUCCUGAUAAAUCCACAGUAAAUCGAUAAUAUUGUUAAGUUAAAAAUGCGUUUAAUCCACCUAACCUACUGAACAUCAGAGCUUAGCUUAGCCUGCCUUAAACAUGCUCGGAACACUUAAAUCAGCCUACGAUUGGGUAAAAUCAUCUAACACACAGCCUAUUUUUUAAUAGUGUUGAAUAGCUCAUAUACUGCAUAUGGCUAGCCCGGGAAAAGAUCAAAAUUCAAAUUCAAAGUAUAUCAAAAUUGUGAUGGUUUCACACCAUCAUAAAGUUGAAAAAUUGUAAGUUGAACUAUCCUAAGUCAGAGACCAUCUGUAUUUAUUUUGGCAGUAUGUAUAUGCGUGUUGGGUGUCGAGGGGAGAGUUAGCACGUAUCUCACGUGUUUAUCUGGCUCUAGGAAAGGGAGAAAUCGCCCGAGCCCCCACCACACUGCAGGGGGCUUCCUCCAAGCUGCAUAAUCAGCUGCUUGCUUCUCCCCAGUCCCCGCCCCCUCUGCAUUCCUCCCAAUUUGCCUAAACCUGGUGCAAACUGUGUCCCUCUCCUGUGACAAUUCAACCCUUACUCCUUUUGCCUGUCUGCCCCACCCUCCUCGGAGGCUGGGUCUAUUGCUCCAGGACACCCACGCACUGUGUUCAAAUCCUGCUCCUGCCCCCCGCCCUAACGUCUGCCUGUGUGACCUGGGCAAGUUAUUUCAUCUCCCUGUGCCUCCGUUUCUUCCUCCGUAAAUGGUGAUAAAAAUCGUGCCUACCUCCUUGGGCUGUUGUAAGAAUUAAAGGAAUUCAACAUAUGUGAAGCAUGAGCACAUGGUAAGCGCUGAUUUGUGUUGGAACCAUCUGCUUCCAUCACAGGGAGUUUGUAGACUUUAUUACAGGUUUGGGCCCCGCGGGGAGCCUGUGGCCCUGUGUAUCUUCUACCUCUCUGUGUUCCCAGCAGGGCAACCAGAGUGGGCCCUUCAUCCUCCACAAGAACGACUUCUGUGGUGACACCAACACCUGGAAUGCGGAUGCAGGCCUGGUAUGCGGAUGCAGCUCCAGCAAGCUCUCCGUACCUCCCGCCCUUUGAGCCCAAAAGUGAUUGUUUGUCAUCACCCCAGGCAGGUUUUGGGGAAGCUGACAGCAGAGAAUGGCUGGCAGGAUCAUCGGGACAGCUAGAUGUUCUCAGGGCUGCUGAGUCCUGACUUUUGCAGGCAGAGAGGAAAGAGUCUUCAAGUCAGAGGCUCCCAGAGGAGUGCUCAGCGGAGGCUCCUGCUGCCUUGCACCGCCCAGGGAAGCAGUCACUGGAUGCUUCCUUUUAAGAUGCCAACAGCUGUGGUCCUGACCCCUGUGGAGAGUGGUCAGGCCAGCAGGGGAUGGACUAGCCAAGUCUACCUAGGGGAGCCAGGUACUCAGGGGAUGGGUUACCCAAGGGCUAAUAACCAACCAAGUCUUUCAGAUGAUGCAUCCGAGGCCAAGCACUCCCUUGUAUCUCAGACCUAGAACUGGCCUCCCUGUCUGCCAGCCACGUUCACUGUUUAAGCAUGAAGGAUUUAGCCCAGGUGGAUAGGGGGAGCGGCUCUCAGCCCAAUCUCCAGGACUGGCCCACAGUGGGCCUGCCCUCCUGCCAUCACGGGGAAGCCAGGGAAUCUGAAAGCCUGGAUGUUCCUGCUGGAGCCACACCAGCAGCCCUCGGAAGUCCCAUUGCUCCUUCUCAACCCUCGGAGCUGUGACCAUGUGCACUCAGGCAAGAUGUGAUGUGGACGGCAAGAGGGAGGCCCCAUAGGCUCUGCUUUCACUGGAAGCCUCGUCAUAGAGACCCUGGGUUUCGGCUGCAGCAAAAGCACUGGCAGGGCCUCUUGCUCUCUUCUGUGUUCUAGAUCUCAGCCAGUGCAUGUGAGUGGCUGAAGCAGAAAUCCUACCCAGAACUGGGGCUGUGAGGGAGCCUGGGAAAGGCUGGGCCCACCUCCAGCUUCUGCGUCAUGGGGAGCACAGCAGAGGAUGUCUUUCUCCACCUGCUUCAUCCAUCCAAGUGCUACUGUCCAGCCAUCGAGGGGCAUCAACUGUCCUCUCUGCCUUAAUGACAUCUGUCUCCUGUGACAGACAGGAUCAUUUGCUCCCAGGGGUGGGGUGGAGUCAGGCCCCAGGGAAUUCAGACCAAGACCUACUCCCCGCUGCCUCUCCCUUGGUGAAGUUGGGAGAACAUCUCUCCCUUUUCCGUGUAUUUUUCUCACAACCAGUUCCCUUGGACUCUUACCUUCAAGCACCAGUGCUCUUAAAAAUAUUUCCUGCAAAUAGAGACAGUGCUGUCCCCAAGAGGAAUUCUGGGGAUGAAAAGAUUUUCCAUCUCAUUACAGGUGUAAUUGCUCUUUUCUCCCUUUGUUUGCAAGUCAUAGAAAUGCGCACAGACUGGCUUAUGCAAGAAAAGGAAUUUACCGGUUCAUAGAACUAAAAAGUCUGAGGUGGACUUCAGGUGUGGCUGGAUGUAGGUGCUUCAGUGAUGUCAUCAGCCAUCUCUCUUUUCUCCUUGUCUCUUCUCUGCUUUCCUCCACAGUGCUCAGGAAAAAAUCUCCCAAAGAGGUGGCAAAAAUGGUCAUUAUCAACGCUUUGUUUUCAUUUCACAAGAUUGGUCAUCCCAGCAGAAAAAAUAUGUCUGCUUCCCAAGAGUUCUCACCAAACUCCCAGAGUGGAUUCUUAUUGUCCCAGCUUAGGUCAAUAUCCCUAAGUCUAACACUGAUUGGCCGGGUCUGGAUCAGGUGCCUGCCUCUGAUAGCACCAUGGUGGGCCCCAUCUGGCCUCCUGAAUGGAGGAUAACAGACAGAUGUUGUUGCCACACGGCCAGCUGCCAUUUUCUCCACUGCAGUUACCCAACCUCUGUCCCACUCACUGGAUCCAUCCUCAGUGCUCUGCUCCUCCUUAAUGCACCUGGGGAUGGCACCUGCUUCCCAGGUUAUUGUGGGCAGCAGGGCACUGGUGGGGUGGGGUCCCCAGAUGGGCAUUAUGGGCUUGAGCCCUGGAACAUGCCUUGCUUUCAGGCCCCUCCUCAGUGUCCCCUCUCCUGGGCUUUGAGAUUAGGGGCCUUUCCAGAACAGUGAGGGGUGAAGCAGGAUAGCGAGAUUCUGGCUGUCACGUGGAAGCCACCCCCCGGUUAUCACUGGGGGUGGCGUGGACAUACAGAGGCUUCACCUUAAGGCCACCCCACAUGUCGUGGUCCUUGCAUUCUCCAGCUUAUUUCUAUCAUGUCCUGAAGCACAUUCACACCAACACAGGGCCAGAGAUACCAAGAACUCCCACAGCUCCCUGAAGACUCUGCUUCCCGGGGGGUUUUGGAGAAAAUAUUCCCUACAACCUUCAGCUUUUCCUCUCUGUCCCUCCCACAGUGGUCAGCACUCACUUUCUGAAGCUUGGCCCGACUUCACUCCAGGCUGGAGCCUCUGUGGAUGUCUCUGUUGUGUAGCCACAGGCCUAGCUGCUAGGCCUGUUUUCAAGGCCUCUGGUGACUGAAUCUGCACCUCUGUUCUGAAUUCACCCCAAGGUGCCAGCCACUAGUGUUUAGGCCAGUUAGGCCCUUCUUGACUCUGAGCCUUCUCCUGGGGGCCCUGGUAGGAGCCCUCCGCCUCCUUUAGACCCCACUCCCAUCCACCAGGGUCACCUCCUUCUGUCUUGCAGGACAUCUGAUUCUACAUCACUCUGCAACGACACUUCUCUGGUCUGCUUGUCACUGUCCCUCAGAGAUGCUGCCUGUCCCUCUCCCUCAGAGAUGAGUUCCCAGUGACUCUUGCAGGAUGACAAAGCACCAUCAAAACAGUGCCUUAAGACAACAGCAGUCACAUUGUUUUCUCUGGUGGGCGGUGCUGGACGGGGCUGGCUCGGCAUCUCCUGUGUGGUUGCUGCCAGGUGCAGAGGUGGGGCAACUGGGCUGGCUGCAUCUCUGCAUGGUCUUAGGGCUCCUCUGUGUCUCUGAGCCUGGGCUAGUUUGGCUUUCUCUCAGCAUGGUGGCCUCAGGCAGCUGGACUGCCAGUGUGGUGGCUCAGGGCUUCAAGGGCUUGUCCUCCAGGGAGCAGACACCACAGCACCUUUUAUGAUCCAGCUUUGGAAGUCAUGGAGCAUCAAUUCUGCCAUAUCUGUUGGUUUAAACAGCUACAAACCCCACCAAUCUCAGUCACUCAUAAGAAGAGCAGGUGGGACAGGAGAUCUUGGCAUUGUUGUCUUUGGACAACUCCUUUGUGCAGGUGAGGAGGGAGGAAGACACAUCUCUGGAUCCCCGGGAGCGGCCAGCACAGUCAGCCCCAGACAUGCCCGGGAAUUCUCUGCCCCUUCCCCCUGUUGGGGGAAUCACAAAUUCUGCCUCAGUGAAGAGAGUUUACACCCCCAUAGCAUCUGAGGGUCAAAGGUGCCUUCCAGGAACCUGAUUUGUCCUCCCUAGCUCCCUCUGGGACCCGUUCUCUGCAGCCCAGGGGAGUGGAGCCUGUGUGGUCUCCUGAGCAUCACUGCAGAGUUGAUCUUCCUACCUCCAGGGAGAUCGCGAGAGAGUCCAAGUGUGCCCAGUGUAGAUCUCAGCCCCACUGCUUUGGAGCUGGGAGACCCUGACACACAACUUAACCCGAGUCUCCAUUUCUGCACUUGCAAAAUGGAGAUAAUAAUGCCCUCUUCUCAGAGCUGCGACCAGGAUCGAUGGAGAUAAUAGAUGAGAAAAUGCUUGGCUGGGGCAAAAGUGCAGUCUCGGCAGAGUGUUCUCCCCCAGCACCCCUCCCACCUGAUGCAGGACUUAAUGAGAGCUGGCUGCUCCCUGGGAUCUUUAAUUAAUUGCCCCAGCCCCACAAUCCCAGUGCCAGCAGAUUAAAUCCAGCCACGGUGGGAAGUAGACUGAGGACUGCUUUGGAUGCAAAUGCCUGAAGCGAAGAAUUUCUGCCUGUGAAAUGGCUGAGUGGGUGAUUUUAGAGCAGCUGCACUUGGGGCUGCCCCCAGGGAGAUAACCCUCCCCACCCUCAGCAGAAUCAGUGCAGCCAGAGGGUGCCCUUUUCUUACCAACUCAUCUCCGGUGCCUGUGGGGUGGGAACCGAGGCCUGCCAGUCGCAGCCCCAGCCCCAGCCCCAGCGUGCCUUGGCCGGCCCCAGAAACAGGAGGAAGGAUACAGGCAGAUCAGUUCCACAGUGACCUAGAGGUAACCAUCCAGGUGCCCUCCAGGUUCCCCAGCUGUUUUGUUCCUGAGGCAGUGCUUGGCCUGCCCUCUGCCCUCCAGCUCCUCCUGCAUCAGGCCUCAGCCUUUGCUGUCUCCGUGGCUUGGGAUACUGUUUCCUGGCUGUCACAGCAGGGCUGUCUCCUCUGCAGCCUCCAGGGCUCCAUGUGAGUGUCUGUCCUCGAGGGAUACCCUCCUGGGCACCCCCAGGCCGCUCUUUGCCUCACCUGCACAGCUCCUGCAGCAGAGCCUGGAAAGCUCCCCCACCCUCACCCGACUUGUUUUGUCACCUCGCCUGCUGGUUGUCAGCCCCAUGGAAACCUGGCGUCGGUGCCUGGGACCAGCUACAGGGGCUCUCAGGAGGGCCUGGCCCAGGUCUGGGACAGGGAGGGAGGAGUAGGAGCAGGCAGAGGGGACACUGAGCUUCACUGCAGGCACAAAGGCAGCCAGGACUCCGCUUGGACCCAGGACUGGGGUAGACCAGAACUGUCCUAAGCAGGGAGUUGUCCAUGCCUGUGUGGCUGAGUCAUAGGACGUGGGCCUGGGGAGGAUGGCAGCAGGGGUGGUGUCUGUUUGCAGCUGGGGGUGAUGCUGAGCACAUCUGGUUACAGCCCCUAGCAGCUGGGCAGCACAUCCUUCCAUGAAGCAGGUCUGAGGCACAUCCCUGCAUGUCCCACAGAGGUAAGUGCCUUCACCUCUAAGUAGACAAAGCACUUGUAACAUAGUGGGCGCUUAGUUACUUUUUGGCUGGCUGUAUAAGGUCUAGUCCCUACCAAGCACCCCAAUUCUGAUAACUUUUGGUUGUCUGUGUCUGAGUCCCUGUUCUGCAGCAAAGGACACCCAUACUGUGGAGCCCAGGGUCCUGUGCUGGGAGCUUCCCACAGCCUCUGUUGCUCCUCCUCCCCGCUGGCCAGUGGGUCCUACUGUGUCUAUUACGGAUGAAGAGGUGAAGAUGGAGUUUUGCUCUUGUUGACCAGGCUGGAGUGCAAUGGCAUGAUC